UUAUGGAGAUGCUAUCCUGCCUUCAUCGAAUUUCAUCGUCAAAAAAUCAGGGACAUGACUUGAACUUCCUUUGAUACUCAUUCCGUCUUCAUCCCGUUCUCUGGGUAUUGGAUAGAGCUGACCCUACUUCCAAGCCUCCAGGAUGCACGUAUUCCAGGGAUGGUCCAACUGAAGCACCACAUCCCAUCCAAUCUGUAUCAAGUUUGGGUACAAAGACCUCUUGGUGAGCAACUUGUUCCCCAAGUGAAGAAUCUGGCUGAUUAUGAAGAUGAUGCAAAUGAAAGCAGAGUCCAAAUUUGAAAGAUUGUUAAAUAUGUUAUAACCAGCACCAUUUUUGGAAUUUCUAGCCUGAAUCAAUACCUUCUCCCAGUUUUUGUUUUCCCUGUACCAGUUUGAGUCUAGUUUCUCAAAACUGCAAGGGAAAUAGAAUUGAUAGAUACUGACUAUUAUCUUA
Molecule: long non-coding RNA, 454 nt
Organism: Choloepus didactylus (southern two-toed sloth)
Lineage: Eukaryota; Metazoa; Chordata; Mammalia; Pilosa; Megalonychidae
Exons: 3
Source: RefSeq, a predicted model, not a curated record